Long non-coding RNA from Eleginops maclovinus (Patagonian blennie), 1341 nucleotides. RefSeq lists it as uncharacterized. The record is from RefSeq and is a predicted model, not a curated record. NCBI's taxonomy places the organism in Eukaryota, Metazoa, Chordata, Actinopteri, Perciformes, Eleginopidae. The transcript has 3 exons.
UUGUACAUGCUGGUUUUGUAACUUGUUCUCUUGCAGACCAGAAUAUAUCUUCAGUGUGUUGUGGUUGCAGGUGUUUCCUCUUGAAUGUGUGGGCUGUUAGUUUGGUGCAGGAGAUGUGUUGAUGUCUCAGUGUGAGCAGCUUGUUGUCUUUUUCCUGUGUUAAUGUUGUUGAUCUCAGUUUCACACCCACCUCCUGUUACCACUUCCCGUUUGUCUCUUCAGACAUUACUAAUACGAACACUAAGUGGGCUGCUAUCUCGUAUGCGCCCCCUUUCUCGCCCCUUCUCUUCCCCCCUGUAGUUCUCUUCCAGUCGCAUUUUCUCCUGGUCUGUCCCUGCCUCCUUGCUGCCAUGGCGACGGGACGCCUGUGAGGGCGGGCUCGGUGGCAAGGCCUGUUUAAAGAGGGGUGGGGUUUUGGUUUUGGCAACUUUGUCAAAAAAGGCGAAAUCGGCCACGUAUUUCCCUGAGGGAGACAGGGAGACGACUGGGGGAAACUCGUAGCCCCAGAGGAUCUCAUCUGGAAGGUAGGAUGUUCGAACCUGGCAGGUAGCGGAAGUCGGCUCAACCGUGGCGCUCAAGAUCACUAGAAGCUCAAAGUCAGCCAGGUCGGGGUCUGUCCAGCCACCACCUGGAGAACAGAGGACACCGCAGGGGGUACCAAAGCACUCCAAACACGAACCAGGUCCCAGCAAAGGUGGCAGAGAAGAGGAAGAACUUGUAGCGCCAUUGCAUGUCGAGGAAAGUCGUCCAGAGAUCGCGAAGGUACAGCGCCCCACGCCCGCUUACGUGCUCGAUGCGUACAUUGCUUCGUCCGUCUUUGGAGAGGACGCGGCGCCUUCUUCGCAGAGCAUUGGGCCCUCCAGCAUCUGUUGCUCCUCCACCUGAACCAGCACCUCCGGUCCCCGUCGGGGAGCCCAGCAGGGGCUUGGUGAUGUCAGUCUGUGUCUGGGAGUGGCAUAUUUUCUGAGGGGAGGAGCCUUCUGAGGAGGGUGGAGUGGCUGAGGUCAUGGCCGGCACUACAGGGAGUAGGACACAGAAAAGGGCAUCACUUGUAUGAGCAGUGAAAUUAAGUGAACAGCAGGUCAGGAUCUCUUCCUCUCCAUCCGGCUCCCCAUCCCUCUCCUUCCCUCAGUCCUGUGCGCACAAGAAUCCUUUGUUUUCCAAGAGAUGAAAGGGACAAAAGCCACCAUUGAAAAAUACAACUGGGUGAGCGAGUGAGUGAAAGAGAGAGCAAGUUAGACGGGGAGAGGAGAGCGGUACGGAGGGUUAAAGUGUGUGUGUUUGCAACUGUGUUUGAUCGUGUGUGAGUAUGCAGUGCUUGACAUUGUGAGGGGGCAGAGA